RNAcentral lists this ribosomal RNA (429 nucleotides) under uncultured Gammaproteobacteria bacterium. RNAcentral's name for it is "bacterial SSU rRNA". It matches the Rfam family "Bacterial small subunit ribosomal RNA", at positions 355 to 776 of the family's 1533-position model. The record is from RNAcentral. Lineage: Bacteria; Pseudomonadati; Pseudomonadota; Gammaproteobacteria. RNAcentral also lists the same sequence under 1 other name.
UGGGGAAUAUUGGACAAUGGGGGCAACCCUGAUCCAGCAAUGCCACGUGUGUGAAGAAGGCCUGCGGGUUGUAAAGCACUUUCAGUAGGGAAAAAGCCUUCAAGGCAAAUAACCUUGAAGAAUGAUAUCAACUACACAAGAAGCACCGGCUAAUUCCGUGCCAGCAGCCGCGGUAAUACGGGAGGUGCGAGCGUUAAUCGGAAUUACUGGGCGUAAAGCGCGCGUAGGCGGUUUUAUCAGUUGAAUGUGAAAGCCCCGGGCUCAACCUGGGAAUUGCAUCCAAUACUGUAAGACUAGAGUACAGAAUAGGAAGAUGGAAUUCCGGGUGUAGCGGUGAAAUGCAUAGAUAUCCGGAGGAACACCAGUGGCGAAGGCGAUCUUCUCGUCUGAAACUGACGCUGAGGUGCGAAAGCGUGGGGAGCAAACAGG